RNAcentral lists this long non-coding RNA (266 nucleotides) under Cucumis sativus (cucumber). RNAcentral's name for it is "long non-coding RNA (CSAT_LNC003042)". Lineage: Eukaryota; Viridiplantae; Streptophyta; Magnoliopsida; Cucurbitales; Cucurbitaceae. The record is from RNAcentral.
UCUUCCUUACAGAAACGGAAAUUGAGAGAUAGGCCAAAGAAGACAAGAGAGCAAGAGAGAAUGGGGGAGGAGAGGGAGGAGAGGGAGACUUGGCCGUUAGAGAAGAGGAGAAAGAAAUUUUAAAUGAGAGAGACUGUACAUGUAGGGUUUUUAUUAGAAUUUUUUUUUUUUGAAAUCUUGCUUAAUUGGAUUUAGAGAAUUUUGUGUAUUCGGUUCACCGACUCGUAUUAGCUGUCCAUUGGUCCAUUGUUUUGUCAUUUUUUUUC